AGUGAACGCUGGCGGUAGGCCUAACACAUGCAAGUCGAACGGCAGCAUAGGAGAGCUUGCUCUCUGGGUGGCGAGUGGCGGACGGGUGAGGAAUACAUCGGAAUCUACUCUGUCGUGGGGGAUAACGUAGGGAAACUUACGCUAAUACCGUAUACGACCUACGGGUGAAAGCAGGGGACCUUCGGGCCUUGCGCGAUUGAAUGAGCCGAUGUCGGAUUAGCUAGUUGGCGGGGUAAAGGCCCACCAAGGCGACGACCCGUAGCUGGUCUGAGAGGAUGAUCAGCCACACUGGAACUGAGACACGGUCCAGACUCCUACGGGAGGCAGCAGUGGGGAAUAUUGGACAAUGGGCGCAAGCCUGAUCCAGCCAUACCGCGUGGGUGAAGAAGGCCUUCGGGUUGUAAAGCCCUUUUGUUGGGAAAGAAAUCCAGCUGGCUAAUACCCGGUUGGGAUGACGGUACCCAAAGAAUAAGCACCGGCUAACUUCGUGCCAGCAGCCGCGGUAA
RNAcentral lists this ribosomal RNA (506 nucleotides) under uncultured bacterium. RNAcentral's name for it is "partial 16S ribosomal RNA". It matches the Rfam family "Bacterial small subunit ribosomal RNA", at positions 29 to 523 of the family's 1533-position model. The record is from RNAcentral.